CGCUGGCGGCGUGCCUAACACAUGCAAGUCGAGCGAGGAGAUUCCUUCGGGAUGAUCCUAGCGGCGGACGGGUGAGUAACACGUGGGCAACCUGCCUCAUAGAGAGGAAUAGCCUUCCGAAAGGGAGAUUAAUACCUCAUAACAUUGCAGUUUCGCAUGGAACAGCAAUUAAAGGAGCAAUCCGCUAUGAGAUGGGCCCGCGGCGCAUUAGCUAGUUGGUGAGGUAACGGCUCACCAAGGCGACGAUGCGUAGCCGACCUGAGAGGGUGAUCGGCCACAUUGGGACUGAGACACGGCCCAGACUCCUACGGGAGGCAGCAGUGGGGAAUAUUGCACAAUGGGGGAAACCCUGAUGCCAGCAACGCCGCGUGAGUGAUGACGGCCUUCGGGUUGUAAAGCUCUGUCUUCAGGGACGAUAAUGACGGUACCUGAGGAGGAAGCCACGGCUAACUACGUGCCAGCCGCGGC
RNAcentral lists this ribosomal RNA (468 nucleotides) under uncultured bacterium. RNAcentral describes it as "bacterial SSU rRNA". It matches the Rfam family "Bacterial small subunit ribosomal RNA", at positions 34 to 518 of the family's 1533-position model. The record is from RNAcentral.